This 1953-nucleotide small RNA is filed under the name Oryza sativa Japonica Group (Japanese rice). RNAcentral describes it as "sRNA Os07g0695200". The record is from RNAcentral. Lineage: Eukaryota; Viridiplantae; Streptophyta; Magnoliopsida; Poales; Poaceae.
UCUUGCACAGCUUGCCGCACGAACUGUCCGCGGACCCUUGGCCGCUGCUCGGCCAGCCUCUUUCUGCUCUGGCUACCUUUUUUCCGAAGUUGCGCUCUUUCCUUUUCUGUCUAAACUUGAUCACUGCAGCCACUCUAUGCUCUCGUUGAGUGAAGCGUUUCAGAUACAUGUCAUUGCCACUGCCGCUUCCACUUCCAUUGCCACCUCCAGGUCCACUUUUGUUGAUGGUGCCAUUAGCGAUCUCCAUAUUUGGCCGUUCAGCAUUUACAGCAGUCGUACUCCCAUUCUGCCCAUUGCUUCCAUUGUUACUGCCUGAGUUGCUUCCAUUGACACCAUAGUUGGCAGCAUGACCUUCGACAGGAGGAUCAAAUACAUUGGAUGAACCACAUUGAGGGGCCCCGGAUCCACCAUUCUCACGUGACACAUCGAAAUGAACAUAAUGAAGUAUUGGGCGAGGGUGUUGUACGAGGUUGCUCUGUACUUCACCAGGCUGAGCCCUCUUUGCUGCAUUGUUAGCCACUUCAUCAGUCUUUUCUUUUCCUGUUGUAUUAGCUGGAGACGUCCAGUGCUGUGCAGGAUGAAAUGCUGAUGUGUGUCCAUUAGCCUUAACAGCUGAGGGUGACAUUACUCUCUCCUUAUUUGUACUAGGCUUUGUCACAACGUUCUUUGUAGUGGAACCCAUGUCAUUGUUAUUGCUACUACCAUUAGAACCUUGUUUUAUUGGUGCAGCAUCUGAGUUUGACUUCAUGUUGUAAGCAGAAUCCGUUUUCAUAGCCUCUGAGCUAUUAUCAUGCAGCGAACAGCUUCCCAUGAAUCCUGUCCCACCUUGAUUGGAAGCCACAGGUGUAUGGUACCUUGCAACAAAAAGAUCUGAUCGUCUCAAAACAUUCCGUUGUUCCUCUUGGAUUGCGUUUGCACCAUCCCCAGUCGAUCUUGACCUUUUCAAACUUAAUUCAAGUGAUGGCAUAAUAUUAUCACGGUUCUUAUCUUUCCCUUCUGGCACUUUGGAGGAGCAAUUAGGGGCAUUUGCGGCUCUUGCUGCCUGUUGUGCAUCCAUGUUUUUGGCCAUCGAACCAAUUAAGUCAGCAGCUCGAACACUUGACUCCUCCAGAUUUUCCAUCGCUGCCUCCUUUGAAUUGUUUUGCAGUGGAUAUUCAUUCCGUCUAUCUGUUGGUUUGAUGGAUCUCUCAUUCGGAGAGGAUUGAUAAGCUGUGUUUAAAUUUCUAGGAGAACCUAUUUCCAAGUCCUUCCCCUUGAACAUACAAUACCAUUAGUUUCUUUUUGUUUCUUGGAAUUUUUGUUGCUUGUACAUGGUAACCAUCUAUUGCUGCAUAUAUCUGACUUCAGGUGGAUCACUUGUGCACAAGUGCUAUCAGGUGGAUCAGCUAAUUGAUCUGGAGACAUAGCCUGUGGACUGUCAAUCUCAACAGCGCGCUUUUUUCAUACUUGAGUGCCACUGCCGUUAUCACUGCCAUCUCUUGCAUUAAGUCCCAUGAUUACACCAUCGUCGUCAUCAUCGUCAUUGCUGCCAUUGUUAUUAUUGGAUUCAUCCCCACUUUUUGAUUUGGCACACUUUUCAGCAGUCAGUACUUGAUGGAUUUGCCUGAACAUCUAAUAUAUAAGAAAAACUGGACCAACAACAACUUACGCUGUGGCACCGUCUCCACACAUGCUGCCAUAGGUUCUUAAGUUCAUUCUUACGUAUGGGCUUGACUAAGAAGUCAACAGCGCCCUUUGACAAACACUUAAAAACUGUACCCAUAGCAUCAUUUGAAGACAUCACUGAUCACUGGAAUAUUCUUGCAAAUAUUGUGGUUCAUGAUCCUACUCAAUAGAGAAAUUCCAGAUACACCAGGCAUAACAACCUCUGUCAAAACAAGAUCAAUGCUGUUUUGCAUAUCUUCUAGAUAUGUCCAUGCUUGCUGGCCAUUUUCAGCAGGGAUGACUUCACAG